GAUGAACGCUAGCGGCAGGCUUAACACAUGCAAGUCGAGGGGCAGCGCGGGAUAGCAAUAUCCUGGCGGCGACCGGCGGAAGGGUGCGUAACGCGUGAGCGACAUGCCCGUUGCCCGGGGACAACCGGUGGAAACGCCGACUAAUCCCCGAUGGGAUAUUGUGCCGCAUGGCACGAUAUUGAAAGUUACGGCGGCGACGGAUUGGCUCGCGUCCGAUUAGCUUGUUGGCGGGGUAGCGGCCCACCAAGGCUGCGAUCGGUAGGGGUUCUGAGAGGAAGGCCCCCCACAAUGGGACUGAGACACGGCCCAUACUCCUACGGGAGGCAGCAGUGAGGAAUAUUGGUCAAUGGGCGGAAGCCUGAACCAGCCAUGCCGCGUGCGGGAAGGAGGCCCUAUGGGCUGUGAACCGCUUUUGCCUGGGGGCAAUAAGGGCGUCGCGCACGUCCGAUGAGAGUACCAGGCGAAUAAGCAUCGGCUAACUCCGUG
Molecule: ribosomal RNA, 486 nt
Filed under: uncultured bacterium
Lineage: Bacteria
Description: partial 16S ribosomal RNA
Rfam family: Bacterial small subunit ribosomal RNA
Source: RNAcentral